UAUCCCCCCCCUGUGUGCCCUUGCCCUCCCCCACGACUGCAUAACGCGAAGAACCUUACCUACACUUGACAUGCCUCUUGGGACUUUCAGAGAUGAUUGUCUUCGGUUCGGCCCGGGGAGUGCACAGGUGCUGCAUGGCUGUCGUCAGCUCGUGUUGUGAGAUGUUGGGUUAAGUCCCGCAACGAGCGCAACCCUCGUCCUUAGUUGCUAACAUUCAGUUGAGAACUCUAAGGAAACUGCCCGUGAUAAGCGGGAGGAAGGUGGGGACGACGUCAAGUCAUCAUGGCCCUUACGGCCUGGGCUACACACGUGCUACAAUGGCAGUGACAAUGGGCAGCGAGGCGGUGACGCCAAGCUAAUCCCAAAAACUGUCUCAGUUCGGAUUGUACUCUGCAACUCGAGUACAUGAAGUUGGAAUCGCUAGUAAUCGCAGAUCAGCAUGCUGCGGUGAAUACGUUCCCGGGUCUUGUACACACCG
RNAcentral lists this ribosomal RNA (478 nucleotides) under uncultured bacterium. RNAcentral's name for it is "bacterial SSU rRNA". It matches the Rfam family "Bacterial small subunit ribosomal RNA", at positions 958 to 1392 of the family's 1533-position model. The record is from RNAcentral.